GAAAAAGCAAUGCUGUGGGAUUCUCAGACCAUAAAAGCUGAGAGAGGGGGGUAAAGACUCGGUACCUCUGAGCAGAGAGGCUCACGUUCUCCAGAUGGGAGCUGCUGGCCAGCGUGGUUGUGCAGAAAGAGCUGGCCCUUGGGCCCUGAAAUAUGAAGGCAGAGCAUGGCCACAAGAGGACUGGAGAGGUCUCCAGCUAUUUUGGCAAUAGAUGUCAUUUUAGCAUGGGCAUGCUGGGCUGUCUGCUUGGUGUUCAGUGACACUGACCUCUGUAGGAGCCCUUCCAGGAACAUCCUGGAGAGGUGGGCCCACAUUUCUACUGCUCAUUUUCUUGUGGAUGAGUGACAGGCAAAGGGGCUUUGGAGCAUAGAGAAUAAACCGUAGUCAUGCCCUACCGACUCUUAGUCUCCGUGGAAUGUUUGUGGACAGCUAACUACAGGAUAUCCGAGGAAAGAAAUUCUGAUGGAUGG
This 470-nucleotide long non-coding RNA is filed under the name Mus pahari (shrew mouse). RNAcentral's name for it is "predicted gene 12347 (MGP_PahariEiJ_G0004662.1)". The record is from RNAcentral. Lineage: Eukaryota; Metazoa; Chordata; Mammalia; Rodentia; Muridae.